Molecule: ribosomal RNA, 163 nt
Filed under: Goodyera x tamnaensis
Lineage: Eukaryota; Viridiplantae; Streptophyta; Magnoliopsida; Asparagales; Orchidaceae
Description: 5.8S ribosomal RNA
Rfam family: 5.8S ribosomal RNA
About the family: 5.8S ribosomal RNA (5.8S rRNA) is a component of the large subunit of the eukaryotic ribosome. It is transcribed by RNA polymerase I as part of the 45S precursor that also contains 18S and 28S rRNA. Functionally, it is thought that 5.8S rRNA may be involved in ribosome translocation.
Source: RNAcentral
GUAUGACUCUCGGCAAUGGAUAUCUUGGCUCUUGCAUCGAUGAAGAGCGCAGCAAAAUGCGAUACGUGGUGUGAAUUGCAGAAUCCCGUGAACCAUCGAGUUUUUGAACGCAAGUUGCGCCCGAGGCCAAUUGGCUAAGGGCACGUCCGCCUGGGCGUCAAGC